RNAcentral lists this ribosomal RNA (301 nucleotides) under uncultured bacterium. RNAcentral's name for it is "partial 16S ribosomal RNA". It matches the Rfam family "Bacterial small subunit ribosomal RNA", at positions 509 to 808 of the family's 1533-position model. The record is from RNAcentral.
CAGCCGCCGCGGAAUACGUAGGGUGCAAGCGUUAAUCGGAAUUACUGGGCGUAAAGCGUGCGCAGGCGGUUAUAUAAGACAGAUGUGAAAUCCCCGGGCUCAACCUGGGAACUGCAUUUGUGACUGUAUAGCUAGAGUACGGCAGAGGGGGAUGGAAUUCCGCGUGUAGCAGUGAAAUGCGUAGAUAUGCGGAGGAACACCGAUGGCGAAGGCAAUCCCCUGGGCCUGUACUGACGCUCAUGCACGAAAGCGUGGGGAGCAAACAGGAUUAGAGACCCGCGUAGUCCCUGUCUCUUAUACC